RNAcentral lists this long non-coding RNA (2869 nucleotides) under Mus musculus (house mouse). RNAcentral's name for it is "long non-coding RNA chr9:99307582-99310451". Lineage: Eukaryota; Metazoa; Chordata; Mammalia; Rodentia; Muridae. The record is from RNAcentral.
UUCUGUAUAUAUACUUUCUCACCCAGUAGGCAGAAGCCACACUGUUUCUUGAAAGAUUAAUAUAAGAAUUUCUAACUAAUAAAAGGUGGUUGACCACUAAAAGGGAAGUGGCGAAGAAGACUCUCACAGGUCCUUGCUGUAACUUGAGAAAAUGUAUACUACCUCCAAGAGCUAAGGGGCAGCAGGCAAGAAAUGAGCUUAGAAACAUAGCUAAGCACCUGUGCUGUGCUGAAUCGGACCUCAGGUGCUGGCACAGGAAUCCUCAGUCCACUUAGCUGAGCAACUUAAGAUGGUGGACUGUUGCUAACACAGACGGCCAGGGCUGUGCUGGCAGAGCCUGAGAGUGUAAGUUACUAUGAACUGCCCUUAAACCAUUCGGCUAAAGAGACUGCUCAUCAGAAGAAAAGCUGUCAUCUUUCUCCUCGCAGUAGCCCUCCAUCGUCCUCUGUUGUCAAAGCCCGAAUCAAUCCUACUUCAGAGCUGCGAUCUGCAGCUUAAGGUACAAGUAACUGACCUUCCUCGUGUUGAGAGCUCAUGCUCUCAGGCUCUGCUACCACAGCCAUGGCCCUCCAGGUCAUUCCAUAUAUCCAUGCAGAUGUGUGUUUUUAAGAUGCAUUUCUGAUUGUACACAUGGGGGCAGGUGUGUGCAUCUGUGCGUGCAGGCGCUCAUGGAGAUCAUCUGUAGCAGUGGCUCUCAACUUCCUCACGCUGUGACCCUUUACUACAGUUCCUCAUGUGCUAACCCCCAACCACAAAGUUAUGUUUGUUGCUACUUCAUACUUAUAAUUUUGCUAUGAAUUGUAAUGCAAAUAUCUGUGUUCUGGUAGUUUUAAGUGACCCCUGUGAAACUUUGAGGCUCGUUGGACCUCAGAGGGGGUCAAGACCCACUGGCUGAGAACUGCUGCUCUAGAGCUGAUAGGUGGUUGCAAGCCACUCAUCAUGGGCUCUGACUGCUGAGCCAUCUCUGCAGGCCUAGUUUUAUAUUUUUGUUUUUCUUUUUCUUUUUGAGACAAGAUUUCUCUGUGUAGCCCUGGCUAUCCCAGAACUUGCUUUGUAGACUAGUCUGUCUUUAAACUCAAGAGAUCUGUCAGCGUCUGUCUCCCAAGUUCUGGGAUUAAAAGUGUAUGCUAUCAUGCCUGGCUAUAUUGAAGUUUUGUUUCUGGUUUUUUGUUUUUCCCAUGAAGACUUGAAUACUUUUAAGAUGUCAGCCUAAUUUUCUUGUUUUUCUUCUUGCUGAUACCCCCCUACGUGUCAUAAGUGUGAGCUUUAAGGCUCUGCAGGGUUCCAGGUUCAAGACCAGUUUUGUAGUUUGGGUGUAUUAUUAUACCAGCUUGACUAUGUAUACUGUCAGGCCCUACACUCCAAUAGCAGAGAGUUGCUGUUCUCUAUGCUACUGCUAAGUGGUCCUUGUCCUUACGUGAUACCCGUCCUCAGGUGUAUGCUAACAAUUUGGUCUCCAUGCUGUAACCUCCUUUAACUCCUGUACGCUGCUCUAGGCUUUGUCUUUAUAUCAGCACUAGAAACUUCACCUGGGAUACUUUUACAUUGACCAUGUUCGUUGUUUAACUAGGUGUAAUUGCUUGAAUGAGAAUGUUCCGCAUAGCCUUAGCUAUUUAAAGGCUUGGUCACCACUUGGUGGCCUUGUUAAAGGAAGUGCUUCCCUGGGAUCCAGAUUUGAAAGCUUAAGGCCUCACCCUACUUGUCAUUCGUGGUUUGUGCUUUCAGCAUAAGAUGUGAACUCUUAGCCUCCUGUUCCUGCCACCAUACCUGCUCCCUGCAGCCAUGCUGCACCCUGUCAUUGUGGAACUCUCUAGAACCAUUUGGUAAAGUGAAUUCUGAAAGGUGCUUUGGCUGUGAUGUUGUGUUUCAGCAACAGAGGGGUAAUAUAUGCAUUCUUUAUGUGUUUUGGGGAGUGGCAGGUUUUCCCAUCUGCCACCAUCAAUUCUAGGGUGGCUAAUAAUUAUGUGAUACAGCCCUUUCUCUUUGUGGCUCCACUUUCAUGAUACUCGUCUAUGCAGGGAAAAACUACAGUGUCAUCAUUAGGUGAGGUGGGUGUCAACUGCCAAAUUUUAUUGUGAGAUUUUAAGAUAGAAAUGUCAGGCUGAGGAAUUGUUUGCUCAGUCAAAAAGUAUGUGUCUUGCAAAUACUUUUGAGUUUGAGUCCCAGAACUUAAAUAUAAAAAGUAGGUAUGGUGAUGGUGCAUCUUGUAUUCCCCAGACUGGGGAAGCUGGAGAUUUGGAUGCCUAGGAUUCACUGGCCAGCCAGUCUAGCUAUUUGACAAGUUCCUGGCCAGUGAGAGGUCCUAGCACAAAGAAAAAAAGGGAAGGGGAUCCUUCAGUCUCUUUCUCUCUCCACACACAAAUAGAAAUAUACACACAAGUAGAAAUAUUUACAAAACUUUUAUUAUGCAUCAAGUAGUCUGUGGUUCAAUUGGGAUAUAGUCUAAAACAUUUAUCAAAGUAGUGUAGUUGCUUAGUAUGUAACCAAGUACAGAGCUUGUAAACAUUAAAAAACUAAUGUUACAACACUAAGAAUUGUUUUUUGUUUUUGUUUUUGUUUUGGAAACAGGGUUUCUCUAUGUAGCCUGUCCCAGAAGUUCCUCUGUAGACCAGGCUGGCCUCGGACUCAGAGAUCCACCUGCCUACACUGAGAAUUGUUAAAAUGGACGGUGCUACACAGGAAGAGACCAUUCCAGUAUGGACUGGCCAUUGGAAAGGACGGCACAGUAUCUGGACUGUUCUGUGUCCUCAGGAUGCUGCGGAAUGAACACACAUCUGCGCAAGAAUACAGUAGCAGAAACCACAUCUCACACUUGAUAGGGGAGUUGGAACUAUGAAUAUUACAGUCUAUAAUAAAUAACACAUAACCU